Non-coding RNA from Pelodiscus sinensis (Chinese soft-shelled turtle), 3956 nucleotides. The record is from RefSeq and is a predicted model, not a curated record. Lineage: Eukaryota; Metazoa; Chordata; Testudines; Trionychidae.
UCUGUCAGCUACCAUUGCUGCCAGGAGAAGGUGGGGGGCUUGAAAUGGUCAUAGCAGAGGGGAGUUACUUACCAUAGAUCUGGAAUUCACUAGGGAAGGGAAUGCUUGAAACCUUGCAUUUCCAUAUGUUUUCUUGAGUAGGCAAUUAAGCCCAAAGGUUACCAAGCAACACUGCCAUAAGUAUUUCACAUGUUGGACAGCAUAUCUCCUUUGAAAAUAGUUUUGGAUGCUUCAGACAAUAACUUCCAAAUGAAAGAAGCCUUGGAAAAAUACAUAGUUCAUGAUCCUGCUGUCAGUGUGGAAAUUGGUCCUUGAAUGUGAUGAGAAUAGUUUUCCUCAAUUACUAAGGGCCAGAUUGUCAUGUAUCCUGGAGAAAUUUAAGAGAGUAACCCUAGAGAAAGGCAAAUUCUGCAUGUUUGCCACUCGCUGAAUUUUUUCUGGAUUUUCUUUUCUCCUCCCACCUUUCGCAGAGAAAACAGCAAGUCCAGCCUCUAAAUCUUAUACAUGUAAUGGGGAAGUAUUGGAGAUUCCUGUCUAUCCAUGAGUGAAGAAGGUAGUGAGUCUCUGACUUCUCACAGCAUGGUUCAAAUGGAGGGGCCUGAAAAGCUCUGAAUAAAAGAAAAUAUAGACUGGGCUAUUUUAUCUUUUGUGUAUACUUCUAAUGGGACAUUGGAAAUGUUUUACAGUUCCUUUGCCAUCCUCUUCUUGCCCGUUCUCUUCUAUCAUGAGGACAACACAUAAGCCUAAGUCUCCACUCAUUAACUGCUGACACUUGGCCUCCUUUUUAACUGUGUGCAUGUGUGAAAAAGUGUGCAAGAAAAGAAAGAAAGUGAAAUAAUGUGAACACCAACAGGGGCUCACCACUCAGUGAGUUCUCUAUCUAGAGGAGCAGGCAGCAAUACUUGAUAGUGGAUGUCCAGUUGGACAGGUUUUUUUCUUCAUGUGCAAGAAAGAAAGCAGAUGGAAGAUCUGUCCCCCUUUUAAUUUCGCAUCUCUUCCAGGUGAAAACGUAGAUCCAAUACUGGCAUCUUCACUUCUAACCAGGGUUUGGGGGAACAGAAUGGUAGUGAGAGUUACUUCUCCCCUCCUGGCUCUCCCCAUAAUGAGCUGUAGUGCUGCUGGAACAAUUUUUAUAUUGGGGGGUGCUGAAGGUGGAAACCACGUGUAUGGGUUGUUAUUACUUCAAAGCAGGGGGUGUGCUAGCACCUCUAAUACCAGCACCUAUGAUGAGCUGUGUGGGUGGGAAGUGCGUUCAGUACAUGAGUGGCAUCUAUUCUCUUAAUAUGUUCAGUGCUCAGGCUAUUUCAGUAAGUUCAGAGGGCUACAAUUGCUGAUUUAUGGUAAAAUUUUUUAUCCUAUUCUACUUUCUUUAUCAUUCCCUGAAGGUGCAAAGGGAGCAGAAUCCCCUCUUGGAGAUUCCUCAGCAGGCAAAGUGUUGAACUUGUGCCUACCUGUAAAGCACCUAUAUUUUCCUCCCAUCAACCUCUGCCACAAGGGUAUGUUGGGGGAGAGCCAGGGAAUGAAUGGGAGAAUACUCUGGCUGUCCCAAGCUGACAAGUGGUUCGUUAGGGACCACAGUUAGCUGGUGCAAGUUAAGCUGUUUUGACACAUGUGUUGGAACAAAACCCCACAUAAAUGGUUAUUAGUUCUCAGCUUCUUCUCCCACCUCCCCUCCCGGGAUGCCUAGGAGGGAGGAGGAUAGCCUUCUAUUGCUAGGUCAGUAAGCCCCAUGCCCAGCUCUCCUGAGGUAUGUCUACACCACAUUUUGGACAGAGGGUGAGUGAGCUUCCCGCCCCAGCUCAACAGAGUUCAUACUAGCACUCUUAAAAUAGCGGUUUAGACAGAGCGCUGACAUUGUGUCUCAAACUCUGAAGUCUGGGGAAUAGGAUGGGCUCCAACACCUGACCUCUAACCUGAGCUAACUUCAAAGCCCUCUCGAUACAGCUAUUUUUAGAGAUCCUAAGCCCUGUUAGCCCAAGUAUGUUAAUCCAGGCUGAGAGGCUGCUCCCCUGCAGUCUAAAAGACUAAGACUGUCACUUACAGCCCAGCAAAAGAACAGGUAGUAGAGCAGGGGUGGGGCCACCCCAGAAGGGGAGGGACCUCUGGAGGAAGGGGCGGGGCCAGGACACUUUCAUGCUCCUGACUGGCCUGAGGGUGGAAGAGCACAUGAAGUAUUUGCACCCACCACUUCUCGCCUAGAGAGAACUACCAGCUGUGCUGAACAAAAAGCCACAGUCCCCAGGGCAUCAGGGCACUACACAGUUCCACACACAGUGCACAAGAACAGAUGCUUUUCCUUGGCUGGCUAUGGGAGAUGUGAUGUCUUGACAAGGGAUCAGAAAGUAGAAAUUAUAAGGAAAUCCCAGAGAAUGGAUUCAAUAGUUUCCUUGCUUUGAACUUCUCAACAGAGGCCAAACAAAACCUUGAGAAUUGAUCAGUAAUUGUAGUAUUGCCAACCCCAAAAGGUGGGGGUGAUAACGUGGGUUUCAACCCGUGAAAACAUACACCCAAAUAAAUGAGUUGGUCUUUAAGAUACCACAAGACUCCUCAGAAACAAACAUGAUUGCCUCUCUGAAACUUGUCACCAUGCAAGGUUUAAAAACAAUAGAAUCCUUUGAAUUUUAGUCGAUCUUUUGAUGGUCGAUCGCUCCUUCCCUGACUCCAGUGGAAGUGAUCAUUAUGAACUCUGUGACACGAGUGAAUUGGGAUCAAAUUAUAAAGAUUUGCAUAAAAUUCUGCUGAAUGGAGCUGAGUUUCCAGCUUCUCCCCUUAAGUUCAUACCGCUACCUUGAUACUGAACCCACCACAUUAGCUCUAGUCCCACAUUUGUCCCUUGCCCCUCAAUGCAUCUCUGCCCUUCUGGCAGCUUCAAGGGUUCUUCACUUUCUCCUUUCUUUGCCCAGGAAUGGAAGUGGAGAGCACAUUGACUCUUUUUCAUAGGCAGGGAAGGAGGGAAUUGCUAGGCCUUUUCUGCUCCUUCCCCCACUCAAACCCUUCUUGUGGCUUCAAAAGAAGAGAGGUGAGAGCUCCACUUGCUCUCUCUCUCUGAUGAGCUGCUGUUCCCCAGGAUGUCAGGAAGGCGGGGAAAAAAAGUCAGACAGAGUCCCCAGGAGUCUCCUGCAGAGUGAAAUUUUCACAAGAGAUGCAACUUCUGCAUUACUGCAAGACUGGAUCCAGUAGGGGCCAAAAUCAUGAGUGUUUGCCACUCUGCUCUACACAGAAAAGGAUCUUUUGGUUGAGAGGCAAAGGACAUAUGAAAGAGGUUCCCAUACUGUUGAGCAUCUCCCUAGAGGGGCCGAGAGGACUGUUUCAGGAGAAAAUAAAGGAAUGAGUGGAUGUCCUUGGGGCAGGGAGGGACCCCUACCCAGCUAUGCUUCUGGUUCCAUGCCUGGGGCCUGGCUUCGAGUCCUGCAUGUCAGGCUCUGGCUUUGCCCUGUCUCUGCUACCUUACCCUUGUCCACAUCCCCUCUCCUGGAGCUGCAGCCCUGCUCCUGGCACCAGCUCCAGGGUAAAGGGACAGUCAGGAGUAAGAGGGGCAUGAAGUAAAAAGAUUUGGGACCGCUGGCACAUGGGGUCAUGGGCUAUUGCACUCGCAAGAAAGUCCCCAAUAGUCCUCCGGCACUGGCAUGAGGUUUGCAGGUCUCUCUGUAGUUCCACACCUGGAGAGCACAGAGGAAACCGGGAACUUGCUGAAGCAGUCACAAGCCAGUCCUAUGGACCAGGCUGACACAAGUCUAGCACAAGGUGCGGCAAGUCCUGUUCAGUCAGUGACCUAUGUGAAGUGAUUGGGGGCACUUGGAAGAAUCACAGUUGUGUGACCACAAUAAGUGGGGUGUGAUGUGCAGACCUCAGUUGUGCUCUGAGUGCCACAGGCAGGGAUCCCCUAGUAAGCUCAGCCGGACGUGAGCAGGAUGGGGCUAGGCAACGGCUCCACUGAGCAGCCAUAGGCCAGCAGA